AGGUGUGGGGGACAUUCCACGUUUUCCGCGCCGUAGCUAACGCAUUAAGUGCCCCGCCUGGGGAGUACGGCCGCAAGGCUAAAACUCAAAGGAAUUGACGGGGGCCCGCACAAGCGGCGGAGCAUGCGGAUUAAUUCGAUGCAACGCGAAGAACCUUACCAAGGCUUGACAUGUGCUAGAUCGCCAUAGAAAUAUGGUUUCCCCUUUUGGGGCUGGUUCACAGGUGGUGCAUGGUUGUCGUCAGCUCGUGUCGUGAGAUGUUGGGUUAAGUCCCGCAACGAGCGCAACCCUCGUUCUAUGUUGCCAGCACGUGAUGGUGGGGACUCAUAGGAGACUGCCGGGGUCAACUCGGAGGAAGGUGGGGACGACGUCAAAUCAUCAUGCCCCUUAUGUCUUGGGCUUCACGCAUGCUACAAUGGCCGGUACAAUGGGUUGCGAUACUGUGGGGUGGAGCUAAUCCCAAAAAGCCGGUCUCAGUUCGGAUUGGGGUCUGCAACUCGACCCCAUGAAGUCGGAGUCGCUAGUAAUCGCAGAUCAGCAACGCUGCGGUGAAUACGUUCCCGGGCCUUGUACACUCCGCC
This 581-nucleotide ribosomal RNA is filed under the name uncultured bacterium. Its description in RNAcentral is "bacterial SSU rRNA". It matches the Rfam family "Bacterial small subunit ribosomal RNA", at positions 818 to 1394 of the family's 1533-position model. The record is from RNAcentral.